UAGGGAAUCUUCCGCAAUGGGCGAAAGCCUGACGGAGCAACGCCGCGUGAGUGAUGAAGGUCUUCGGAUCGUAAAACUCUGUUAUUAGGGAAGAACAAAUGUGUAAGUAACUAUGCACGUCUUGACGGUACCUAAUCAGAAAGCCACGGCUAACUACGUGCCAGCAGCCGCGGUAAUACAGAGGGUGCGAGCGUUAAUCGGAUUUACUGGGCGUAAAGCGUGCGUAGGCGGCUUUUUAAGUCUGAUGUGAAAGCCCACGGCUCAACCGUGGAGGGUCAUUGGAAACUGGAAAACUUGAGUGCAGAAGAGGAAAGUGGAAUUCCAUGUGUAGCGGUGAAAUGCGCAGAGAUAUGGAGGAACACCAGUGGCGAAGGCGACUUUCUGGUCUGUAACUGACGCUGAUGUGCGAAAGCGUGGGGAUCAAACAGG
RNAcentral lists this ribosomal RNA (429 nucleotides) under Staphylococcus sp. RNAcentral's name for it is "bacterial SSU rRNA". It matches the Rfam family "Bacterial small subunit ribosomal RNA", at positions 355 to 776 of the family's 1533-position model. The record is from RNAcentral. Lineage: Bacteria; Bacillati; Bacillota; Bacilli; Caryophanales; Staphylococcaceae.